RNAcentral lists this ribosomal RNA (378 nucleotides) under uncultured bacterium. RNAcentral describes it as "bacterial SSU rRNA". It matches the Rfam family "Bacterial small subunit ribosomal RNA", at positions 524 to 898 of the family's 1533-position model. The record is from RNAcentral.
GACGAACCGUGCGAACGUUAUUCGGAAUCAUUGGGCUUAAAGGGCGCGUAGGCGGCGGUGUAAGUUGGAAGUGAAAUCCCAUCGGCUCAACCGUGGAAUUGCUCCCAGUACUGCAUCGCUCGAGGGGGAUAGGGGUUUGCGGAACUACCGGUGGAGCGGUGAAAUGUGUUGAUAUCGGUGGGAACGCCAGUGGCGAAAGCGGCAAACUUGACCCUUCCUGACGCUGAGGCGCGAAAGCUAGGGGAGCAAACGGGAUUAGAUACCCCGGUAGUCCUAGCCUUAAACGUUGGGUACUGAGUAGAAAGGGGACCGAUACCCCCUUCUGCUGGAGCGAAAGUGUUAAGUACCCCGCCUGGGGAGUAUGGUCGCAAGGCUGAA